UGGGGAAUAUUGGACAAUGGGCGCAAGCCUGAUCCAGCCAUGCCGCGUGAGUGAUGAAGGCCCUAGGGUUGUAAAGCUCUUUCACCGGUGAAGAUAAUGACGGUAACCGGAGAAGAAGCCCCGGCUAACAUCGUGCCAGCAGCCGCGGUAAUACGAAGGGGGCUAGCGUUGUUCGGAUUUACUGGGCGUAAAGCGCACGUAGGCGGACUAUUAAGUCAGGGGUGAAAUCCCGGGGCUCAACCCCGGAACUGCCUUUGAUACUGGUAGUCUUGAGUUCGAGAGAGGUGAGUGGAAUUCCGAGUGUAGAGGUGAAAUUCGUAGAUAUUCGGAGGAACACCAGUGGCGAAGGCGGCUCACUGGCUCGAUACUGACGCUGAGGUGCGAAAGCGUGGGGAGCAAACAGG
RNAcentral lists this ribosomal RNA (404 nucleotides) under Actinomycetes bacterium. Its description in RNAcentral is "Actinobacteria bacterium partial 16S ribosomal RNA". It matches the Rfam family "Bacterial small subunit ribosomal RNA", at positions 355 to 776 of the family's 1533-position model. Lineage: Bacteria; Bacillati; Actinomycetota; Actinomycetes. The record is from RNAcentral.